This 468-nucleotide ribosomal RNA is filed under the name uncultured bacterium. Its description in RNAcentral is "partial 16S ribosomal RNA". It matches the Rfam family "Bacterial small subunit ribosomal RNA", at positions 28 to 507 of the family's 1533-position model. The record is from RNAcentral.
GACGAACGCUGGCGGCGUGCUUAACACAUGCAAGUCGAACGGAAAGGCCCUGCUUUUGUGGGGUGCUCGAGUGGCGAACGGGUGAGUAACACGUGAGUAACCUGCCCUUGACUUUGGGAUAACUUCAGGAAACUGGGGCUAAUACCGGAUAGGAGCUCCUGCUGCAUGGUGGGGGUUGGAUAGUUUCGGCGGUUGGGGAUGGACUCGCGGCUUAUCAGCUUGUUGGUGGGGUAGUGGCUUACCAAGGCUUUGACGGGUAGCCGGCCUGAGAGGGGGACCGGCCACAUUGGGACUGGGAUACGGCCCAGACUCCUACGGGAGGCAGCAGUGGGGAAUAUUGCACAAUGGGCGGAAGCCUGAUGCAGCAACGCCGCGUGCGGGAUGACGGCCUUCGGGUUGUAAACCGCUUUCGCCUGUGACGAAGCGUUAGUGACGGUAAUGGGUAAAGAAGCACCGGCUAACUACGUG